Molecule: transfer RNA, 84 nt
Filed under: Candidatus Wolfebacteria bacterium GWA1_42_9
Lineage: Bacteria; Candidatus Wolfeibacteriota
Description: tRNA-Leu
Rfam family: tRNA
About the family: Transfer RNA (tRNA) molecules are approximately 80 nucleotides in length. Their secondary structure includes four short double-helical elements and three loops (D, anti-codon, and T loops). Further hydrogen bonds mediate the characteristic L-shaped molecular structure. tRNAs have two regions of fundamental functional importance: the anti-codon, which is responsible for specific mRNA codon recognition, and the 3' end, to which the tRNAs corresponding amino acid is attached (by aminoacyl-tRNA synthetases). tRNAs cope with the degeneracy of the genetic code in two manners: having more than one tRNA (with a specific anti-codon) for a particular amino acid; and 'wobble' base-pairing, i.e. permitting non-standard base-pairing at the 3rd anti-codon position.
Source: RNAcentral
GGCCUGGUGGUGGAAUUGGUAUACACGCAGCACUUAAAAUGCUGUCCGCGUAAGCGGAUGUGGGUUCAAGUCCCGCCCUGGCCA